Caenorhabditis elegans is the source of this 21-nucleotide non-coding RNA. Lineage: Eukaryota; Metazoa; Nematoda; Chromadorea; Rhabditida; Rhabditidae. The record is from Ensembl.
UGAAAUCUUCAUGGUCGACGA